GAAAUGCGAUAAGUAAUGUGAAUUGCAGAAUUCAGUGAAUCAUCGAAUCUUUGAACGCACCUUGCGCUUUUUGGCCAUUCCAAAGAGCAUGCCUGUUUGAGUGUCAUUGAAUCCUCAAGGCCCCCCUUCGCCCUUUGCGGCUACGGGGGGGACUUGGAUGUGGGAGCGCUGCGGGAGGCCUACAGGUUGGCCUCUCGCUCUCCUCAAACGCAUCAGUAGGGCCUCUCGGGUCUUCGCGGCGUUGAUAGUCGUCCACGCCUCGUCCCGUUGGGGGGUUCACCUGCUUCGAAAACACCCCUUCUCUGACUCUUUUGACCUCAAAUCAGGUAGGACUACCCGCUGAACUUAA
Molecule: unclassified non-coding RNA, 349 nt
Filed under: uncultured Agaricomycetes
Lineage: Eukaryota; Fungi; Basidiomycota; Agaricomycetes
Description: sequence contains ITS1
Rfam family: 5.8S ribosomal RNA (bases 1-106)
Source: RNAcentral